GCUCCUUCUGGUCGGGCAAUCUUGCGCGUGGCCUGCCCCGCCACAACUCCACCAUCGUGCUGCUCGACCAAGGUACG
This 77-nucleotide transfer RNA is filed under the name Mesorhizobium sp. 131-2-1. RNAcentral describes it as "tRNA-Gly". Lineage: Bacteria; Pseudomonadati; Pseudomonadota; Alphaproteobacteria; Hyphomicrobiales; Phyllobacteriaceae. The record is from RNAcentral.